Long non-coding RNA from Lactuca sativa (garden lettuce), 7726 nucleotides. RefSeq lists it as uncharacterized. NCBI's taxonomy places the organism in Eukaryota, Viridiplantae, Streptophyta, Magnoliopsida, Asterales, Asteraceae. The record is from RefSeq and is a predicted model, not a curated record.
CAACUUGGAAAGUUUAAAAAAGUUUAUUUUGUCAACUUUUAUUAUCGAAAAAUAUCACUCCAUCCGUAUAAUAAUAAAUUGAAUCAAAAUUUGGUAACGUCGGUUUAACUAGAAUUUCCAUUUUCUUGGCACAUUUAAUGCGUAAGAUCCUUGAUUCUUUCAGAAACGGUUCGUUUGACUACAAAAGAGCGCCACUCUUCAUAUUUCUUCGUCCUCCUCUAUCUCUCGGCUAUCGCAUCAACCUUUGUUUUCUUGAUCGGUGUUCGUUCUCUUGAUCUUUUUCUUUGUCUAGAUCCAAUAUACACAUGCCUUUCUAUAGGGUUUCAAACACGUUAUACGUUGAUGUUCUUUCCAUGGUUAUUAGAUGUUUUCUCCGGUUUCCAAAGCAAACUAAUUUGUAGAAAUUGGCGACAGUGGAAGAAGCCGAUGAUGUCGAAGAGUUUUCUCCCAUGGCUUGGGGCUUCCAUCAAAAAGCUACAGAGGGAGAAGGGGCAUAUUGAGUUAAGAAGUAUAGACAAAGAUGCUUCCAUGGAUCCAAUCAAAGUGGCUUUGAAACGAUCAUUGUUUUUUUGCUCAGUAUUGUUUAAUUGUUACUAUUUUGUCAAUGGGGAGGGAGGGUUUUAUUUUUGCCCAAACUUCAGUAGACUAUGUGAAGGAAGGUAUAAAUCCAAAUUUACCUUUUUGCCCAUUUGUAUUUAUUUUUGCUCUCAUUGACAAUGUAAGACACAACUGAGUGAUACUAAACAUCUGUAUAUUUUGUUGUAUGAUCUUAUUUUUUCUUUUUCUUAUUAAGAAAUUUUACAUUAUAAUUUUUUUUUUGUUCGUAUCAAGACAUUUUAUUUUGAAAAAUCUACCAAUUUUUGCACUGUACUUCUAAUUUUCUUAUUAUAAGCACAUUUUUCUAUGAAAAAUCAACCCACUUAAAGCAUUGUACUUUUCUGUUUUCUUUUGGUUGCAUCUUUGUAUUUUUCAAAAUUUUCUUAUCAACACAUUUUAAUCUAAAAAAUAUUUACUUUUUUUUUCUAUAUCAAAUUUUCUUAUCAAAACAUUUUAAUGUAAAAUUCAUCACUUUUACUUUUUUUAUAAGCACUUUUCUCUAUGUAAAAAUCAAUCCAAUUAAAGCAUUUUGUUUUUCCGUUUUCUUGUAUUUAAAUGUUAAUUCUUUUCCCAACAUUGUACUUUAAAAAAUCUUUACAAGGCAUUUAAUCUGAAAAAUCUACGAUUUAAUUCUAUUUAAGAAAUCAACCUAAUUAUAGUACUGUGUGUUUCCGUUUUUUUUUGUUACAACUUUGUAUUUUUAAAUUUUUUUUUGUUAUCAAGACAUUCUUAGCAUUGUACUUUUAGUUUGAAAAUUCGAGCAUUUUUAGCAUUAUACUUUUAGUUUUCUUUUAUAAGCACAUUUCUGUUAAAACUUUUUUUUUGUUUUUUUUUUUUAUUUAUUUCAUAUCAGUUAUUCUACUUCAAACAUUCUUUACAUUUUAUUCUUCUCUAGGCAUUUUACUUUAAAAAUUCUAUCAAUUAUAGCAUUGUACUUUCAGUAUCUUUUUAAUAUAAGCACAUUUCUCUAUGAAAAAUCAAUCGGUUAAAGCAUUGUACUUUUCCUUUUUGUUUUUAUUAGAACUUUUUAUUUUUCAAAAUUUUCCUUAUCAAGGCAAUUUACUUUAAAAAAUAUUUACUUUUUUUUCAAGAUAUUUUACUUUGUAAAAUCAACAAACUAUAGCUUUGUAAUUUCAGUUUUCUUAUUAUAAGAACAUUUCUCUUUGUAAAUAUAGCAUUGUACUUGUAGUUUUCUUAUGAUAAGUACAUUUCUUUUUGAAAAAUUAAUCCAAUGUAAUCAAGGCAUUUUACUUUGAAACAUCUACCAUCUAUAGCAUUCUACUAUCAGUUUCUUAUUUUAAGCAUAUUUGUUUAUAAAAAGUUAAGGCAUUGCACUUUUCUGUUUUACUUCUGCUACAACUUAUGUAUUUUUUAAAUAUUUUCUUAUCAAGACUUUCUUACUUUAAAAUAACUUUGCAUUUUUUUCUUUCUAAUCUAAGCAUUUUACUCUGAAAAAACUACCAAUUGUAGCAUCACCUUUUUUCAGCACAUUUCUCUAUGAAAAAACAACCAAAUUAAAGCAUUACAUUUUUUUUGUUUUCUUUCUGUUACAACUUUGUAUUUUUCAUAUUUUUUCUUUUCAAUACAUUUUACUCUAAAAAAUCUCUAUUUUUUUCUUAUAUACACUAAUCGCUUUAAAAAUUCUACGAACUAUACCACUGUUCUUUCAGUUUUUUUUUUUCUACAACUUUGUAUUUUUCAAAUUUUUUUUCCUUAUCAAGACAUUUUACCUUAAAAAAUCUAUACAUUUUUUUUCCUUAUCUAGGUAUUUUACUUUGAAGAAUCUACCAAUUAAAUUAAAGCAUUGCACCUUUUCUUUUUGUAUUUAUUACAAGUUUGUAUUUUCUUAUCAAGACAUUUAACUUUGAAGUUUUUUCCAAAUAUAGCAUUGUACUUUCAGUUUUCUUAUUAUAAAGCAUAUUUCUUCUAAAAUUUCAACCCAAUAAAGCAUUUCUUAUUAAGACAUUUUACAUUAAAAAAUCUUUACUUUUUAUUCUUAUUAAUGGUUUCCACUUUGAAAAAUAUACCAGUUAUAGCAUUGUAGUUUUAGUUUUCUUAUUAUAACCAUAUUUCUUUUUGAAAACUCAAUCCAUUUAAAGCAUUGCACUUUUUCACGCAUUUAAUUUGAAAAAUAUACUGUUUAUAGCAUUGUACUUUCUGUUUUUUUAAUAUGAGGACUUUUCUUUAUAAAUAGUCAACACAAUUUAAGUAUUGAAAUUUUUUGUUUCCUUUCUAUUACAAGUUUCUAUUUUUCAAAACAUUUUACUUUAAAAACACCUAACAUUUUUUUUUCUUAUCUUAACAAUUUACUUUGAAAAAUCUACCAAUUAUUGCAUUGUACUUUGAAAAAUCUUUACAUUUUGUUUUUAUUCUCUAAACAUUGUACUUUGAAAAAUGUACCGAUUAUAGUAUUGCACUUUCAGUUUUCUUGUUAUAAGCAUAUUUCUUUUUGUAAAUUCAUUCCAAUUAAAGCGUUGCACUUUUUCCUUAUCUAGGUAUUUUACUUGAGAAAUCUAUCAAUUAUAAGUUUUCUUAGUGUAAGGACAUUGCUCUUUGAAAAAUCAACCCAGUUAAAUUAAAGCAUUGCAACUUUUCUUUUGUCUUUUUAUUACAACUUUGUAUUUUUCUUAUCAAGACAUUUUACUCUGAAUUUUUUUUCCAAAUAUAGCAUUGUACUUUCAGUUUUCUUGUUAUAAAGCAUAUAUCUUUUUAAAAUUUCAACUCAAUAAAGCGUUUCUUAUCAAGACAUUUUACAUUAAAAAAUUCUUACUUUUGAUUAUUAUCAAUGCUUUUUACUUUGAAAAAUAUACCAUUUAUAGCAUUGUAGUUUUAGUUUUCUUAUUAUAAGCAUAUUUCUCUAUGAACUCUCAAUCCAUUUAAAGCAUUGCACUUUUUUCAGGCAUUUAAUAUGAAAAAUGUACUGUUUAUAGCAUUGUACUUUCUGUUUUAUUUGUUUAUUUUAUUUUUUUAUAUGAGGACUUUUCUUUAUAAAUAGUCGACGUAAUUAAAGUAUUGAACUUUUUUGUUUACUUUCUAUUACAAAUUUCUCUUUUUCAAAACAUUUUACUGUAAAAACACCUUACAUUUAUUUCUUAUCUUAACAUUUUAUUUUGAAAAAUCUACCAAUUAUAGCAUUGUACUUUUAGUUUUAUUCUUCUAAGCACAGUCCCCUUUAAAAAAUUAACCUAAUUAAAACAUUGCAGUUUUUCAUUUACUUUGUGUUGCAACUUUGUAUUUUUCAAAAAGAUUCUUAUCAUGACAUCUUACAAAAAAAUCUUUACAUUUUACUUUAAAGAAUCUACCAUUUAAUCAUUUCUAACAUUGUAAUUUCUCACUUUCUGUUACAACUUUGUUUUUUUUCAUUCAUGGCAUUUUACAUAUUUUUUUCUUUAAACAUUUUAUUUUGAAAAAUCUACCGAUUAUAACAUUAUACUUUUAGUUUUCGUAUUAUAAGAACAUUUCUCUUUGAAAAAUCAAACCAAUUAAAGCAUUGCACUUUUUCGUUUUCUUUGUGUUACAACUUAGUUACAACUUUGUAUUUUUAAUUUUUUUUUCUUAUCAAGUGAUUUUACUUUGAAAAAUCUACCAAUUAUAGCUUUGUACUUUUAGUUUUCAUAUUAUAAGCACAUUUCUUUAUGAAAAAACAACCAAUUAAAGCAUUUGCACUUUUUCGUUUGCAGUCUAUUACGAAUUUGUAUUUUUCAAAUUUUUUCUUAUCAAGAAAUUUUACGUUAAGAUAAGUAUACUUUUUUUUUUCGUAUCAACGUUCUUUACUUUGAAAAUUCUACAAAUUUUAGCAUUGUACUUUUAAUUUUCUUGUUAUGUGCACAUUUCUCUUUUUAAAAAUCAAUCCAAUUAAAGCAUUGCAUUUUUGCGUUUGUUUUAGGAUACAUCUUUUGUAUUUUUUUUCUUAUCAACAUAUUUUACUAUAAAAAUCACUUACUUUUUUUCUUCUAAUCUAGGCAUUUUACUUUGACAAAUGUACCAUUUAUAAAAAUUCCUCUUUGAAAAUUCAACCCAGUUAAAGCAUUGUACUUUUUGUUUUCCUUUUAUUACAACUUGACUUAAUACACUUUAUGAGUUUAGCACUUAGUCUGUACAUAAUCAUGACUUAAUGGGUUAAGCCACAAAAAUCUUACUUGAUAUAUCAAGACACUACAAAUCAUCUUUCAAUUAAAUUAUUAUGGUUAUCAUGAUCACACUACACUUAAUGUGAUCAGGAAUUUCUGUAUUCCCUUUUAUGUUUCUCUACAUUUUAUUUGUUUUCUGUUAAAUGUCAUGGCUUUAUAAUUUAGUUGUUGAGUGGAAUAUAUAUGCAGAUCUACAUGCUAAUUUGACCUAGAAAAUCCUGGUUUUCAUAGUUUUGGUUUAUUUUCAACUAUUAUAUUCGCAUAUUCAAUUGACAGAUUUUAUCUUUUAUGAUAUUACAUGUCUGUGCACAUCAUGCUUUGGUUUGUCAAUUGGUCUUGUUCUUGAUUCUUCUUUAGAUUGAACUUUCCCAGGGAUUUAGUUUUUGAAAGACAAAGGUUCCAUAUAUGGUUUUUUUCUUACUUUGAAAAUUAGGGUCUUUGAGUUUCUUGUUUUUCAUUUUGUCCUUUGCUUACAACUGAAUUAGUCUUGGAACCCUUUGCCUUUAUUCAUUUGUGAUUCUUUUGCUUGUUGAUUGAUCUUAUUCUUGAUUCUUAUUAUGUUUAUUGCUCGAGUUUCUUGAGGUAUCAUCGUAUUUAGUUUUGGGGCUUCUUUUCGCUUUAAACUGUUUUUUUUACUAGGACAAUCAAAGGGAUAUUAUCUCACUAUAUUAAUUUGUCUCUUUAUUUGAUAUAAUGUAAUAUCUAACUGUAUUUUUUUUUUGUCAGAAAGUGGGUAGUCUAAAAUAUGUCUCUUAAUUUAUUAAUAAUAAUACUUAGUAUUAUAGGGUCUAAAGUGUAAAUGCAUUAAUUAUAUGUUUUCUCUCAUGUAUACGUGAUUUACAUUCAAUACAAUACACAUUUCUCUAUGAAAAAUCAACCAAAUUAAAGCAUUGCACAUUUUUGUUUUCUUUCAGUUACAACUUUGUAUUUUUCAUAUUUUUUCUUUUCAAUACAUUUUACUUCAAAAAAUAGUUCCAAUUUUUUUCUUAUCUAUGCAUCAUACUUUGAAAAUUCUACCAUCACACUUUUCGUUUUCUUUUUAUUACAACUUUGUAUUUUUUGAAAAGAUUCUUUGUAUUUUUUGUAGUCAUAUCCUAAUUGAAGUAGUCUAGGCAUAAGAUAUCUACAUAGAAAACGUAUACUAGAUAUACAACCCGUGAUGAAUUAUAAAGUAAAAUAAGUUUUAGUAAAGCAACCUACAAACAAGAAAGAACAUUUUCACAUGAAGAGUGGCAAGGUCGGCAAGUAAAACAUGGUUAAACACACAAGUAGUGGAAGCAGAUAGACAUAUACUAGAUCGAUAUACAUGUUGAAAAUAAAAUAGUCAAACAAAAGAAGAAUAUGUAAACUAGCCCACAUGCACUACAAAUGGUGGAAGCUAGACCCUAAAUUAUAUUAGUAGUACUAUUCUAUCCUGAUUCUAAGUCUAUACUUUUUCUAUUUGAGAUCAUGUCUCUGGUAAAGGCUAACUCCUCUAAGUGUAACUCCACGCUAUCUUCUCACUUUCUGCUUGGUUGUCCUUUUUUCCUCGUACCCGUGACUAUAAUCGACUCCACCCUCCUAACAACAAUCAGUUGUCUGCUAUAGAUAUGUCUAAACCACCAUAAUUUUCCUUUCCUCAUUUUUUCGAUGAUCGUCGCCAGUCCUAAUGAUUUAUCUAAUAGUCGUGUUUGAUAUCAUGUGUAACAAUGUUCUACCACAUGUCAACCACAACAUUCUCAUGUAUGUGACCUCUAUCAUCCUCUUGUUCCUUCUUGAUCGGCUAACAUUCGCAUCCAUACAACAAUGUUGACAUUAUCACAACCUUAUAAAAUUUUCCCUUGAGUUUCAAUGGUACCUUCUUGUCACACAAGACUUCUGUCGUCGCUGCCUUCCACUUUAACCAUUUAGCAUUUAGUCUUAAUGUGACGUGUAAUGUCAUCCCCCACACCCCUAUCUUUAUGGAUCAUAUGUUAGAAAUAUGGGGUAAAUAAAUUGUUUGGAUUCUCUGAAAGUCAUGAAACACUCUCAAGUUCAGUAUUUCGAUGGUAUAGGUUGAAUCCUAGAUUGGAUAAGAGAUUUUAGAAUUGAGAGAAUGUGGGUAAAUAAAUUGCUCUACUUACGCAUAUUUGCAAUUCAAUCAUUCUUUAUUUCAAUGGCAAGGGCAUGCUAUUGAAGAGAUCACCUUAUCAGUGUGAUUCUUGAUUAUGAGAUUCCAAAGGAGUAUGUACUUGUAGGUAGGUUGUUUAAGGGGAACACAUUCAGAUUGUGUCUUCCACAUGAUUGACACAAUGACUUUUAUGGGUUCUUAAUACACGUUACCCACGAUGGAUGUCCGGAUAUUAAAAUAACCAUUAAGGAGGAGAAGCCAGAUGAAGAUCUUCCAUUUAGGUUUUCGCAUGAGUCUAAUUAUAAUGCAAUGGACCGUUGCCGAAUAAUAUCCACAUAUGUGGGAUAUGUUUCCUUUAAUUCAUUGAGGCUCAUUGCGUGCUUGAACUUGAAUUCAAUAUACAGUGUGAUUUUAGUUUCCUUGCGUCAGAGUUGGAGUACUGCUUCUCAAGCUGCAAAUCGAAUAGGAGUUUCACUCGUUCCUAAAACAAAACGUAAAGAUGAUCCAGUGAAAACAGCAAAAGAUUCCUCUGAAUUUGGGGACGAGAAAGAUAAAUCUGGUCCCAUUUUUGCGAUUAAACAUGGUUCAAAGUCAUCUAUUAAGAUCUUGUGGCGACCUCUUAAUUAGGAUUUAGGACAACAACGUCGAGUAAAUCGGACAAUAGGGGCAUAUUAAUGCUCAUUACAAGAAAACCGGACAAUAGGGGCAUAUUAAUGCUCACUACAAGAAAACCAGACAAUAGGGGCAUAUUAAUGCUCACUACAAGAAAACCGGACAAUAGGGCCAUAUUAAUGCUCACUGCAAGAAAACCGGACAAUAAGGGCAUACUAAUGAUAAUCUUUGGGUAUUAUGUAGCCUUGUUACAAAAAAGAAACAAUUGCCUUUUUGAUGGGUUAUUAUUUCCUGAAAA